UACGAAGGGGGCUAGCGUUGCUCGGAUUGACUGGGCGUAAAGGGCGCGUAGGCGGAUAGUACAGCCAGGCGUGAAAUUCCUGGGCUCAACCUGGGGGCUGCGUUUGAUACGUAUUGUCUGGAGUUCGGAAGAGGGUCGUGGAAUUCCCAGUGUAGAGGUGAAAUUCGUAGAUAUUGGGAAGAACACCGGUGGCGAAGGCGGCGACCUGGUCCGAUACUGACGCUGAGGCGCGAAAGCGUGGGGAGCAAACAGG
RNAcentral lists this ribosomal RNA (253 nucleotides) under uncultured bacterium. RNAcentral's name for it is "partial 16S ribosomal RNA". It matches the Rfam family "Bacterial small subunit ribosomal RNA", at positions 524 to 776 of the family's 1533-position model. The record is from RNAcentral.